RNAcentral lists this ribosomal RNA (253 nucleotides) under uncultured bacterium. Its description in RNAcentral is "partial 16S ribosomal RNA". It matches the Rfam family "Bacterial small subunit ribosomal RNA", at positions 524 to 776 of the family's 1533-position model. The record is from RNAcentral.
UACGGAGGGGACUAGCGUUGUUCGGAAUUACUGGGCGUAAAGGGCGCGUAGGCGGCUUACCAAGUCAGGCGUGAAAUUCCCGGGCUCAACCUGGGGGCUGCGCUUGAUACUGGUGAGCUUGAAUGCGGGAGAGGAUAGUGGAAUUCCCAGUGUAGAGGUGAAAUUCGUAGAUAUUGGGAAGAACACCAGUGGCGAAGGCGGCUCACUGGCUCGUAACUGACGCUCAGGCGCGACAGCGUGGGGAUCAAACAGG